GAGUUUGAUCCUGGCUCAGAUUGAACGCUGGCGGCAGGCCUAACACAUGCAAGUCGAGCGGUAGAGAGAAGCUUGCUUCUCUUGAGAGCGGCGGACGGGUGAGUAAUGCCUAGGAAUCUGCCUGGUAGUGGGGGAUAACGCUCGGAAACGGACGCUAAUACCGCAUACGUCCUACGGGAGAAAGCAGGGGACCUUCGGGCCUUGCGCUAUCAGAUGAGCCUAGGUCGGAUUAGCUAGUUGGUGAGGUAAUGGCUCACCAAGGCGACGAUCCGUAACUGGUCUGAGAGGAUGAUCAGUCACACUGGAACUGAGACACGGUCCAGACUCCUACGGGAGGCAGCAGUGGGGAAUAUUGGACAAUGGGCGAAAGCCUGAUCCAGCCAUGCCGCGUGUGUGAAGAAGGUCUUCGGAUUGUAAAAGCACUUUAAGUUGGGAGGAAGGGCAGUAAAUUAAUACUUUGCUGUUUUGACGUUACCGACAGAAUAAGCACCGGCUAACUCUGUGCCAGCCGCCG
RNAcentral lists this ribosomal RNA (514 nucleotides) under uncultured bacterium. RNAcentral's name for it is "bacterial SSU rRNA". It matches the Rfam family "Bacterial small subunit ribosomal RNA", at positions 9 to 517 of the family's 1533-position model. The record is from RNAcentral.